Molecule: ribosomal RNA, 803 nt
Filed under: uncultured bacterium
Lineage: Bacteria
Description: bacterial SSU rRNA
Rfam family: Bacterial small subunit ribosomal RNA
Source: RNAcentral
UUAGUGGCGGACGUGUGAGUAACGCGUGGAUAACCUGCCGUAUACCGGGGGAUAACACUUAGAAAUAGGUGCUAAUACCGCAUAAGCGCACGGCUCCGCAUGGGGCAGUGUGAAAAACUCCGGUGGUAUACGAUGGAUCCGCGUCUGAUUAGCUAGUUGGCGGGGUAACGGCCCACCAAGGCAGCGAUCAGUAGCCGGCCUGAGAGGGUGGACGGCCACAUUGGGACUGAGACACGGCCCAAACUCCUACGGGAGGCAGCAGUGGGGAAUAUUGCACAAUGGGGGAAACCCUGAUGCAGCGACGCCGCGUGAGUGAAGAAGUAUCUCGGUACGUAAAGCUCUAUCAGCAGGGAAGAAAAUGACGGUACCUGACCAAGAAGCCCCGGCUAACUACGUGCCAGCAGCCGCGGUAAUACGUAGGGGGCAAGCGUUAUCCGGAAUUACUGGGUGCAAAGGGAGCGUAGACGGUAAUGCAAGUCUGGAGUGAAAGGCGGGGGCCCAACCCCCGGACUGCUCUGGAAACUGUGUAACUGGAGUGCAGGAGAGGCAGGCGGAAUUCCUAGUGUAGCGGUGAAAUGCGUAGAUAUUAGGAGGAACACCAGUGGCGAAGGCGGCCUGCUGGACUAUAACUGACGUUGAGGCUCGAAAGCGUGGGGAGCAAACAGGAUUAGAUACCCUGGUAGUCCACGCCGUAAACGAUGAUUACUAGGUGUGGGCGGGUAUGGACCCAUCGGUGCCGCAGCAAACGCAGUAAGUAAUCCACCUGGGGAGUACGUUCGCAAGAAUGAAACUCAAAGGAAUUG